Molecule: long non-coding RNA, 321 nt
Filed under: Medicago truncatula (barrel medic)
Lineage: Eukaryota; Viridiplantae; Streptophyta; Magnoliopsida; Fabales; Fabaceae
Description: lncRNA gene38184
Source: RNAcentral
AUGGUUAAAGAUCUAAAGAAAGGUCAAUCAGAAGUCAAUAUGUUGGAUCAGAAGAAAGGAAGUCGCUCAGAAGUUGAAAAUCUGCAUCAGACUUGGAAGACCAUCAGACUCUGAGGAAUAUAGAAUCAUGAGGGACCCAGAAGACACGUCAUAUUUGUCCUCUUCUGUAGAUGUCUCAAUCAAGACUCUGAUAGUACAAUUUGUCCUCUUCUGACCACGUGUAAAAAUAAACAAAGAACUUCAAGAACAAAGAGAAUGAACGGAUAAUUCCCGUUGUAGUAAAGGAAUUUCAAAUGUCUAAUCAACGACAUUGUCCAUAUC